RNAcentral lists this ribosomal RNA (468 nucleotides) under uncultured bacterium. Its description in RNAcentral is "partial 16S ribosomal RNA". It matches the Rfam family "Bacterial small subunit ribosomal RNA", at positions 28 to 507 of the family's 1533-position model. The record is from RNAcentral.
GACGAACGCUGGCGGCGUGCUUAACACAUGCAAGUCGAAUGGAAAGGCCCUGCUUUUGUGGGGUGCUCGAGUGGCGAACGGGUGAGUAACACGUGAGUAACCUGCCCUUGACUUUGGGAUAACUUCAGGAAACUGGGGCUAAUACCGGAUAGGAGCUCCUGCUGCAUGGUGGGGGUUGGAAAGUUUCGGCGGUUGGGGAUGGACUCGCGGCUUAUCAGCUUGUUGGUGGGGUAGUGGCUUACCAAGGCUUUGACGGGUAGCCGGCCUGAGAGGGUGACCGGCCACAUUGGGAAUGAGAUACGGCCCCGACUCCUACGGGAGGCAGCAGUGGGGAAUAUUGCACAAUGGGCGGAAGCCUGAUGCAGCAAAGCCGCGUGCGGGAUGACGGCCUUCGGGUUGUAAACCGCUUUCGCCUGUGACGAAGCGUGAGUGACGGUAAUGGGUAAAGAAGCACCGGCUAACUACGUG